CACCGCCGGCCCCUUCUCCACCCUGCUCCGCUCUCCUCUGCCUCAGCCACUCCUCCCCCUGCCUAGCCGCUCAGCCUCCCUCGCUCGCACACAGAGGACACAAACAGGUCCAGCACAUAUGGUGACAACAUGAGCCAUGCCUCCCGAUCAGCAUACCUCAGCUCUAACUGGAGAGGUACAAGUUUAGACUUUGCAAGGAAAAGCGUGUCUUUUGUGCAUGAAGAGAAGGGAGGAGGGAACGAAGUAAAAAAACCUGAAUAGCAGCGUCUAGAAGUACUGUGGCAGCAAAUUCUGAAGCUGGAAGAUGCUGAUGAGGGAGGUUACCAUGACUACAAAAGCGGCAUAUUUGAAUAAAAAUUGUUGUUAAGUCUUUUAAAUGCUAAUUGUAAUUGAGGAAUGGGUGACAUCUAAAAUUGCAAACACUUUUCCAGUGUUACAACUUAUGCUUAGCGUAAUGAAAGGACUAAAAAAGGAUGACAAAUGUAAGCAUUGUGAAGUUAAACAGAAAGAAGUAUAGUGAUCACAUCUUUAAAGCAUUUUAAAUUAUUUACUUGUUCAAAAUAAUAAAUUAGUUGGGUACCUGUUAAAUGUAAGCAAAAAAGCAUAUGAGAUAGAAAGGUCAUAUAUAUUAACUUGUAAUUAUAUUCUAGGAUGGUGUACAAAAAAAGUUAAGUUUUAAUAAUCUAAUCUAAAAUCAUUGCUACUUAAAAGCAGUUUUCAAUAGACUACAUGCUAGAGACUUAAAUUUUACACUUCUAGCUAUGGAAUGAAACUCUUCCAUCUAGAGAUCCUAUGAUGUUUCAUAAACACUGAGUAAAUCUCAUCAUGCUCUACAAAUUACUUGUAGUCUAUUGGUGGGGAAACCAGGAUGAAAAGAUAUGAAGUGACAUACCACGUCAUUGUCAGGGUGAAGACUAGAAUCCAGAGCUCCUUAAGGGCAGUCCUGUACUCUUACUACUUGACAACUUUGCCUUCAUGGCAGCAGCAGCAGGAUAAAACUAGAAGUAUUUAUCAACAAGUUGCAUUUAAUUGUGGGUUGUACAUAUUAAGAAAAAUACAGUUUUUAACAUUACACACUAUCACCCCAUGAGCAAGAGAACAUCAGACCACAGAUCAUCUAGGUGGGGUGAAGUUUUGUGGGUGCUGCUAUACAUUUUAGUAUUCUCAACUGCAAGUGGUGAAAAAUUCCUUCUACUAUCUUUACCUUGUAACUUCAAACAUUCCUUUCAGAUGAGGACCUAGGAACUGUAAUACAUGUUAUCAAUGCUUUCAAGUUAGACUGUUUUAAUUCACUCUCAAUUCUCUAGUGAAAGACCAUGAAGGGUAUGUCUACAGCAAAAAAACUUGUGCCAUCUCACUUGGGUUAAGGAGGAAGGGUCUGAGAGCUGAGGUUCCUUCCCAAGCCUAUAUAGCUACGGUAUACGGUAGUGGCUCUUAAAUGGCUAUUUUGCCCCAGCCUAAGUCAGCUGGCACAUGCCAGCUGUGUCCAGUUGGGUGUACCAUAAGUGGCUUGCAGAUUUGGACUAUAUUUUGAACUCUGUGUUGAAGAGAAUGGGGUAUCAAUAAAGUUUGCAAACCGAUGUAUUCACAAUGGCCUUCAUUGUUUAUGAGGGAACUUGCUACUGUUUGCCCGAUCCACAGGUGAUGCAAAGCAAUGUAGAUCCAUAUCCUGAGUCUUCAACCCUUUUAAAGCCACAUAAUGAGCAGAAUCUUCUGACAAGGAUGCCAUUGUGACUAUGUGAGUGUAAAUGUCAUGGUAUUUCUCAUGUUCUAUGUACUUUAAUUUUAAGUACAGUGGUCGCUACAACUGAGCAAAUGCUGCAGAAAAAAAUGCUUUGCAAAUUUUAAUUCACAUUUAUAAACUAGAAGAUUUACCCAGUGUUGUUCAGGUCCUUAAUUUUUGUUGUUUGGAAAAUAAAAA
Non-coding RNA from Pelodiscus sinensis (Chinese soft-shelled turtle), 1921 nucleotides. Lineage: Eukaryota; Metazoa; Chordata; Testudines; Trionychidae. The record is from RefSeq and is a predicted model, not a curated record.